RNAcentral lists this transfer RNA (71 nucleotides) under Camelus bactrianus (Bactrian camel). It matches the Rfam family "tRNA". From Rfam's summary of the family: Transfer RNA (tRNA) molecules are approximately 80 nucleotides in length. Their secondary structure includes four short double-helical elements and three loops (D, anti-codon, and T loops). Lineage: Eukaryota; Metazoa; Chordata; Mammalia; Artiodactyla; Camelidae. RNAcentral also lists the same sequence under 1 other name. The record is from Rfam by way of RNAcentral.
GAGGGUAUAACUCAGUGGUAGAGUGUGUGCUUAGCAUGCACGAGGUCCUGGGUUCAAUCCCCAGAACCUCU